Molecule: ribosomal RNA, 454 nt
Filed under: uncultured bacterium
Lineage: Bacteria
Description: partial 16S ribosomal RNA
Rfam family: Bacterial small subunit ribosomal RNA
Source: RNAcentral
GAUGAACGCUGACAGAAUGCUUAACACAUGCAAGUCGACUUGAACUUCGGUUUGGGUGGCGGCCGGGUGAGUAACGCGUAACGAACUUGCCUCACAGCUAGGGACAACAUUUGGAAACGAAUGCUAAUACCUGAUAUUAUGAUUAUAUGGCAUCGUAUAAUUAUGAAAGCUAUAUGCGCUGUGAGAGAGCUUUGCGUCCCAUUAGCUAGGUGGAGAGGUAACAGAUCACCAAGGCGAUGAUGGGUAGCCGGCCUGAGAGGGUGAUCGGCCACAAGGGGACUGAGACACGGCCCUUACUCAUACGGGAGGCAGCAGUGGGGAAUAUUGGACAAUGGACCGAGAGUCUGAUCAAGCAAUUCUGUGUGCACAAUGAAGUUUUUCGGAAUGUAAAGUGCUUUCAGUUGGGAAGAAAAAAAUGACGGUACCAACAGAAGAAGUGACGGCUAAAUACGUG